This 224-nucleotide ribosomal RNA is filed under the name uncultured bacterium. RNAcentral describes it as "partial 16S ribosomal RNA". It matches the Rfam family "Bacterial small subunit ribosomal RNA", at positions 118 to 344 of the family's 1533-position model. The record is from RNAcentral.
UGAGCAAUCUGCCCCUGACUCUGGGGAUAAGCGCUGGAAACGGCGUCUAAUACCGGAUACGAGCUGCGAAGGCAUCUUCAGCAGCUGGAAAGAACUUCGGUCAGGGAUGAGCUCGCGGCCUAUCAGCUAGUUGGUGAGGUAAUGGCUCACCAAGGCGUCGACGGGUAGCCGGCCUGAGAGGGUGACCGGCCACACUGGGACUGAGACACGGCCCAGACCUCCGG